RNAcentral lists this ribosomal RNA (395 nucleotides) under uncultured bacterium. Its description in RNAcentral is "partial 16S ribosomal RNA". It matches the Rfam family "Bacterial small subunit ribosomal RNA", at positions 523 to 918 of the family's 1533-position model. The record is from RNAcentral.
AUACGUAGGGUGCAAGCGUUAAUCGGAAUUACUGGGCGUAAAGCGUGCGCAGGCGGUUUUGUAAGACAGUGGUGAAAUCCCCGGGCUCAACCUGGGAACUGCCAUUGUGACUGCAAGGCUGGAGUGCGGCAGAGGGGGAUGGAAUUCCGCGUGUAGCAGUGAAAGGCGUAGAUAUACGGAGGAACACCGAUGGCGAAGGCAAUCCCCUGGGCCUGCACUGACGCUCAUGCACGAAAGCGUGGGGAGCAAACAGGAUUAGAUACCCUGGUAGUCCACGCCCUAAACGAUGUCAACUGGUUGUUGGGUCUUCAUUGACUCAGUAACGAAGCUAACGCGUGAAGUUGACCGCCUGGGGAGUACGGCCGCAAGGUUGAAACUCAAAUGAAUUGACGGGG